RNAcentral lists this long non-coding RNA (449 nucleotides) under Capra hircus (goat). Its description in RNAcentral is "lncRNA (ENSCHIG00000007334.1)". The record is from RNAcentral. Lineage: Eukaryota; Metazoa; Chordata; Mammalia; Artiodactyla; Bovidae.
CCAGUUCCCUAAUGGGAGAGAAGCCCUCGUUUAUGCUGGUACUUGGAUACCGACCACCCUGGGGACUUUGGAUGCAUCUUAGAGUCAACAGAACACUCGAGAGAGAGGGUAGAUUAAGAAUAGUGUUCUUCACAAAAAUUGUUUGGUCUCGCUCUCUCAAUCCUGAUGCAAUUUUCCUAAUGGUAAAAGAGUUUAUCCUCUUUUUUACUCCUCUUGUAGGUAGAUCACUGCCAUUUUUAUACCAGGAUAUUAAGGUACCACCACCUCACUCGAUCCUUGGUGAUUGAAUACUUUCAUGAUCCAAAAGUUACUCAGAAGAGUUAUUCUCGGGAUUAAUUUUCCAUUCAUCCAGGAAGCUUUUUUUUUUAAUUAAUGGAAAUUUCUAAGUACCAUCUACAGCCUGAAGGUGAAUGUGAAUUUUUAUAUGAAUUUUGUAUGAAUUUCUUGGA